RNAcentral lists this ribosomal RNA (253 nucleotides) under uncultured bacterium. RNAcentral describes it as "partial 16S ribosomal RNA". It matches the Rfam family "Bacterial small subunit ribosomal RNA", at positions 524 to 776 of the family's 1533-position model. The record is from RNAcentral.
UACAGAGGACUCGAGCGUUGUUCGGAUUCAUUGGGCGUAAAGGGUGCGUAGGUGGUCUGGUAAGUCGGAUGUGAAAUCCCGGAGCUUAACUUCGGAACUGCAUUCGAUACUGCCGGACUGGAGUACUGGAGAGGAGAUCGGAAUUUACGGUGUAGCAGUGAAAUGCGUAGAUAUCGUAAGGAAGACCAGUGGCGAAGGCGGAUCUCUGGACAGUUACUGACACUGAGGCACGAAGGCCAGGGGAGCAAACGGG